GAUUGUAGUCAUGCCACCCUGAACACAUUUGGUAGCUAAGCAGGGUCGAGCCUGGUUAGAAUUUGGAUGGGUGACCACCUGGGAAUACCAGGUGCUGUAAGAU
Molecule: ribosomal RNA, 103 nt
Filed under: Salmo salar (Atlantic salmon)
Lineage: Eukaryota; Metazoa; Chordata; Actinopteri; Salmoniformes; Salmonidae
Source: RNAcentral